Peromyscus maniculatus bairdii (prairie deer mouse) is the source of this 379-nucleotide non-coding RNA. The record is from RefSeq and is a predicted model, not a curated record. NCBI's taxonomy places the organism in Eukaryota, Metazoa, Chordata, Mammalia, Rodentia, Cricetidae.
CAGCCAGGCAGGGUCAUCUGCUGGAGUGGAGGCCUUAGGCACAUCUGGACAGGUGCAGGCUAAUGAAAAGGUGCCAGCAUCAGGUGCACCUUUCUUGAGGCCCGUUGGAUUUAUUUAUGACUUCUUCAAGGAUGCGCUGGAGAACAAGAGCUCGCAGGGGCCACAUACAUUUUAAGGUGCAAGGAAGAAGAAAACACCAGUUUCACUCAAGCUGAGAUGCCAAAUGGCUGUGUAGAGCGGAGCCUCCCGCCAACCAUCCUGGAUAUAAGAUGACCAAGAGGAGAGUGGUGGCCUGGGUGCCAGGUGCCUGCCGGCAUAGCCAGUCCCCUAUUCAGCAGACACAAUGAAGAUCAAAGGAUCAUUUGAGACUUCAUCCAGC